UGAAACCUUUAAUAGAAUCUUGAACAAUCUCUGUCCAAAUGUUCUCACUUCCUCCUCCCGCAUCUCCAUCAGACAUUCCUCGAAAUCUCACACUGCUUUUUUGGCCUAUGUUGCAUGGUAGAGGAUAUGGUUAUGGGAUAGGGAAUUUAAUCCAUGGUCUUAAUUGGAACAUGACCAAUAGAGAGAACCUGAUACAAGUCCUUGACACCAUGCAGGUGCUGAAUAACUGUCUAAUUGGUAA
This is a long non-coding RNA of Marmota monax (woodchuck), 241 nucleotides long. RefSeq lists it as uncharacterized. The record is from RefSeq and is a predicted model, not a curated record. Lineage: Eukaryota; Metazoa; Chordata; Mammalia; Rodentia; Sciuridae. The transcript has 3 exons.